GGCCUCUAUGGUGCAGUGGAUAGCACGCGCCGACGCGAUGGGUGAAACGCGGGUUCAACUCCCGCCUGGGGUCG
Parelaphostrongylus tenuis is the source of this 74-nucleotide non-coding RNA. NCBI's taxonomy places the organism in Eukaryota, Metazoa, Nematoda, Chromadorea, Rhabditida, Metastrongylidae. The record is from the annotation of a GenBank genome assembly.